This 253-nucleotide ribosomal RNA is filed under the name uncultured bacterium. Its description in RNAcentral is "partial 16S ribosomal RNA". It matches the Rfam family "Bacterial small subunit ribosomal RNA", at positions 524 to 776 of the family's 1533-position model. The record is from RNAcentral.
UACAGAGGGGGCAAGCGUUGCUCGGAAUCACUGGGCGUAAAGGGCGCGUAGGCGGGAUGGCAAGUCGGUCGUGAAAUCCUUCGGCUCAACCGAAGAACGUCGGCCGAUACUGCCGUUCUUGAGGGAUGCAGAGGAGACUGGAAUUCCCGGUGUAGCGGUGAAAUGUGUAGAGAUCGGGAGGAACACCGGUGGCGAAGGCGGGUCUCUGGGCAUCUCCUGACGCUGAGGCGCGAAAGCGUGGGGAGCAAACGGG